ACGACGCCGCGUGUAGGANCCAAGGCCUUAGGGUUGUAAACUACUGUCACGAGUUAUGAAUGGCUUGUAGUCAAUAUCUGCAAGUUUGACGUAAGCUCGAGAGGAAGCACCGGCUAACUCUGUGCCAGCAGCCGCGGUAAUACAGAGGGUGCAAACGUUGUUCGGAAUCACUGGGCAUAAAGCGCACGUAGGCGGCUCAGCCAGUGCGGAGUGAAAGCCCAUGGCUCACCCGUGGAAUUGCUUCGCAUACUACUGAGCUCGAGUACAGGAGAGGAGAGCGGAACUCUUGGUGGAGCGGUGAAAUGCGUAGAUAUCAAGAGGAACACCAAAGGCGAAGGCAGCUCUCUGGCCUGUGUCUGACGCUGAGGUGCGAAAGCCAGGGUAGCGAAAGGGAUUAGAUACCCCUGUAGUC
RNAcentral lists this ribosomal RNA (412 nucleotides) under uncultured Planctomycetota bacterium. RNAcentral's name for it is "bacterial SSU rRNA". It matches the Rfam family "Bacterial small subunit ribosomal RNA", at positions 391 to 795 of the family's 1533-position model. The record is from RNAcentral. Lineage: Bacteria; Pseudomonadati; Planctomycetota.